AGAAAAUUAGUUAAAAUAUAACAUUAAUUUGUCAAAUUAAAAUUAAUUAAAAAUUAUUUUCUU
RNAcentral lists this transfer RNA (63 nucleotides) under Cucujoidea sp. 22 KM-2017. RNAcentral describes it as "tRNA-Asp". The record is from RNAcentral. Lineage: Eukaryota; Metazoa; Arthropoda; Insecta; Coleoptera.